RNAcentral lists this ribosomal RNA (553 nucleotides) under Conus archon. Its description in RNAcentral is "partial 16S ribosomal RNA". It matches the Rfam family "Bacterial large subunit ribosomal RNA", at positions 1802 to 2619 of the family's 2925-position model. Lineage: Eukaryota; Metazoa; Mollusca; Gastropoda; Neogastropoda; Conidae. The record is from RNAcentral.
GUUUACCAAAAACAUGGCUUCGUGUUGAGUUUCAGAUACGAAGUCGGACCUGCCCAGUGAGUUUUAAACGGCCGCGGUACUCUGACCGUGCAAAGGUAGCAUAAUCAUUUGCCUUAUAAUUGAAGGCUGGAAUGAAUGGUUUGACAAGAAUACAGCUGUCUCUUUUUGAUUAGUUAGAAUUUUAUUUUUAGGUGAAAAAGCCUAGAUGUUAUUAAAAGACAAGAAGACCCUAUCGAGCUUUAGAGAAGUUAGUAGAAUUUUAAUAAAUCAAUCAAUGUUAUAGUAAAAGAAAAACUAUUAAAUACUUUGGUUGGGGCAACCAAGGAGUAAGCAAAGCCUCCUUUAAACUAUAAGUCAUACUUGUAUUGAUCCAAGUAUAUUGAUCAAAGAAAUUAGUUACCGUAGGGAUAACAGCAUUAUCUUUUUUGAGAGCUCAUAUCGAAAAAAAGGUUUGUGACCUCGAUGUUGGACCAGAAUAUCCUAAAGAUGCAGAAGUCUUUAAAGGUUGGUCUGUUCGACCAUUAAAAUUCUACGUGAUCUGAGUUCAGACCGG